GUAGGUGGCAAGCGUUGUCCGGAAUUAUUGGGCGUAAAGCGCGCGCAGGUGGUUCUUUAAGUCUGAUGUGAAAGACCCCCGGGCUCAACCGGGGAGGGUCAUUGGAAACUGGGGAACUUGAGUGCAGGAGAGGAAAGUGGAAUUCCACGCGUAGCGGUGAAAUGCGUAGAUAUGUGGAGGAACACCAGUGGCGAAGGCGACUUUCUGGCCUGUAACUGACACUGAGGCGCGAAAGCGUGGGGAGCAAACAGGAUUAGAUACCCUGGUAGUCCACGCCGUAAACGAUGAGUGCUAAGUGUUGGGGGGGUUUCCGCCCCUCAGUGCUGCAGCUAACGCAUUAAGCACUCCGCCUGGGGAGUACGGUCGCAAAGACUG
RNAcentral lists this ribosomal RNA (375 nucleotides) under uncultured organism. RNAcentral's name for it is "partial 16S ribosomal RNA". It matches the Rfam family "Bacterial small subunit ribosomal RNA", at positions 527 to 896 of the family's 1533-position model. The record is from RNAcentral.